CUACGAGGAUGAUUUGGACAUGGAAUUCUCUCUUGCUGAUGGGUCAGUGGAGAAAGCUAUGACGUCCUGAGUAGC
Molecule: small nucleolar RNA, 75 nt
Organism: Monodelphis domestica (gray short-tailed opossum)
Lineage: Eukaryota; Metazoa; Chordata; Mammalia; Didelphimorphia; Didelphidae
Gene: SNORD26
Rfam family: Small nucleolar RNA SNORD26
About the family: U26 is a member of the C/D class of snoRNA which contain the C (UGAUGA) and D (CUGA) box motifs.
Source: Ensembl